This 904-nucleotide ribosomal RNA is filed under the name uncultured bacterium. Its description in RNAcentral is "bacterial SSU rRNA". It matches the Rfam family "Bacterial small subunit ribosomal RNA", at positions 8 to 916 of the family's 1533-position model. The record is from RNAcentral.
AGAGUUUGAUCCUGGCUCAGGACGAACGCUGGCGGCGUGCUUCAGACAUGCAAGUCGAGCGGGCGGAGGCCGAACCGCAAGGGGAGGCCGAAGCUAGCGGCGAACGGGUGAGUAACACGUGGGUAAUCUACCCGGAAGACUGGGAUAACGGCCCGAAAGGGCCGCUAAUACCGGAUAAUGUCGUGGUCUCGCAUGAGGCCGCGAAGAAAGGCGAAAGCCACUUUCGGAUGAGCUCGCGACCCAUCAGCUAGUUGGUGAGGUAAUGGCCCACCAAGGCGACGACGGGUAACCGGUCUGAGAGGAUGAUCGGUCACACUGGGACUGAGAUACGGCCCAGACUCCUACGGGAGGCAGCAGUCGGGAAUAUUGGGCAAUGGGCGAAAGCCUGACCCAGCGACGCCGCGUGAGGGACGAAGGCCUUCGGGUCGUAAACCUCUGUCAUCGGGGACGAAGGAAGUGACGGUACCCGAGGAGGAAGCCCCUGCUAACUACGUGCCAGCAGCCGCGGUAAUACGUAGGGGGCGAGCGUUGUCCGGAGUUAUUGGGCGUAAAGGGCGUGUAGGCGGCCUGUUAAGUCAGGUGUGAAAUUUCAGGGCUUAACCCUGAAACUGCGCUUGAAACUGGCAGGCUUGAGGACAGGAGAGGGAAGUGGAAUUCCCGGUGUAGCGGUGGAAUGCGUAGAUAUCGGGAGGAACACCAGUGGCGAAGGCGGCUUCCUGGACUGUACCUGACGCUGAGGCGCGAAAGCUAGGGGAGCAAACAGGAUUAGAUACCCUGGUAGUCCUAGCCGUAAACGAUGAGUGCUAGGUGUGGGGGGUUUAAAUCCCUCCGUGCCGGAGUUAACGCAAUAAGCACUCCGCCUGGGGAGUACGGCCGCAAGGCUAAAACUCAAAGGAAUUGACGG